Molecule: ribosomal RNA, 433 nt
Filed under: uncultured bacterium
Lineage: Bacteria
Description: partial 16S ribosomal RNA
Rfam family: Bacterial small subunit ribosomal RNA
Source: RNAcentral
AACGAACGCUGGCGGCAUGCCUAACACAUGCAAGUCGAACGAGACCUUCGGGUCUAGUGGCGCACGGGUUCGUAACGCGUGGGAACCUGCCCUUAGGGUCGGAAUAACUCCCCGAAAGGGGUGCUAAUACCGGAUAAUGUCUUCGGACCAAAGAUUUAUCGCCUUUGGAUGGGCCCGCGUUGGAUUAGCUAGUUGGGAGGGUAAAGGCUUACCAAGGCGACGAUCCAUAGCUGGUCUGAGAGGAUGAUCAGCCACACUGGGACUGAGACACGGCUCAGACUCCUACGGGAGGCAGCAGUGGGGAAUAUUGGACAAUGGGCGAAAGCCUGAUCCAGCAAUGCCGCGUGAGUGAUGAAGGCCUUAGGGUUGUAAAGCUCUUUUACCCGGGAUGAUAAUGACAGUACCGGGAGAAUAAGCUCCGGCUAACUCCGUG